GAGUUUGAUCUUGGCUCAGAGCGAACGCUGGCGGCAGGCCUAACACAUGCAAGUCGAACGAUCCUUCGGGAUAGUGGCGGACGGGUGAGUAACACGUGGGAACGUGCCCUUUGGUUCGGAACAACUCAGGGAAACUUGAGCUAAUACCGUAUGCGCCCUUCGGGGAAAGAUUUAUCGCCAUUGGAGCGGCCCGCGUCUGAUUAGCUAGUUGGUGAGGUAAAGGCUCACCAAGGCGACGAUCAGUAGCUGGUCUGAGAGGAUGAUCAGCCACAUUGGGACUGAGACACGGCCCAAACUCCUACGGGAGGCAGCAGUGGGGAAUCUUGCGCAAUGGGCGAAAGCCUGACGCAGCCAUGCCGCGUGAAUGAUGAAGGUCUUAGGAUUGUAAAAUUCUUUCACCGGGGACGAUAAUGACGGUACCCGGAGAAGAAGCCCCGGCUAACUUCGUGCCAGCAGCCGCAGUAAG
RNAcentral lists this ribosomal RNA (466 nucleotides) under uncultured Alphaproteobacteria bacterium. Its description in RNAcentral is "bacterial SSU rRNA". It matches the Rfam family "Bacterial small subunit ribosomal RNA", at positions 9 to 524 of the family's 1533-position model. Lineage: Bacteria; Pseudomonadati; Pseudomonadota; Alphaproteobacteria. The record is from RNAcentral.